Long non-coding RNA from Symphalangus syndactylus (siamang), 1291 nucleotides. RefSeq lists it as uncharacterized. NCBI's taxonomy places the organism in Eukaryota, Metazoa, Chordata, Mammalia, Primates, Hylobatidae. The record is from RefSeq and is a predicted model, not a curated record.
AACUCCCCAUACCCUUCUGCAGGACCUGGAAGCCACCUGUUGAAGAUGGCAGAGCCCCAAGACAUAAGAAGCAUGGGUCCCUGGGUCCCUGGUCCCCACCUGGGAGGAUCUCUGCUAAACAUGCAAGCUGGAUGGCUGUGGGAGUGAAAAAUAAACUCCUACUGGGUGAAGCUACUGAGAUUUCAGGGUUUCUCUGCUUCUGUUUGGAUGUGAUAUGGUUUGGCUGUGUCUCCACCCAAAUCUCAUCUUGAAUUCCCAUGUGUUGUAGGAGGGACCUGGUGCGAGGUGACUGAAUUACUGGGGUGGGUCUUUCCUGCACUGUUCUCAUGAUUGUGAAUAAUUCUCACAAGAUCUGAUGGCUUUAUAAGGUGGAGUUUCCCUCCACAAGCUCUGUAUUUGCCUGCUGCCAUCCAUGUAAGAAGUGCCUUGCUCCUCCUUGUCUUCCACCAUGAUUGUGAGGCUUCCCCAGCCAUGUGGAACCAUGUGUUUGACUCACCCCUUAUUGGAAAAAAAGAAAAAUCUGAUCGUGGAGCUGCUAAUCUGAACUGUUUCCAUUCAUCAUGCCAAGUGGAAAAUCUUUACCCCCAUGUAGUAGGUGCCAAAAUCAAGAACUUGGCUACAGCCGGCAAUUCCAGACUUGUCUGUCACUCUCCUCCAGAGCUGCCCUCACACUGGCCACAUCACCAGCCUACACACCAUCCCUGUCCACUCUGACCUCUACACAGUUGCACCCACUGCCCCUCCCGCUGUGCGCCAAUUUAAAUCUCCCUGGAACCCGGACAGGAUGCCCCUCCUCCAGGACGCUUUGGCAACUAUUUUCAUGCAAAAAGCUCCUUCUUCCUUCUGUAACAGGGGAAAGAGCACUGGGCUAGGAGUUAAGAAAGCUGCACUUGGCUCAUCACAGAUUCAUUUUCAAGCCAAAGACAUAAACUCAAAUAACUCAAGGCCGUGAUCAUUCAAUUAGUCACAGAUGGUCGCUCCACAUGGUGACUCAGGGACUCCUCCCAGUGCUGCCCAGCCAGAUGCCAAGCCGGAGCAGAAGGAGCUGGAGACAGAAGGAGGCUAAUUUUCCGUGGGAUCCUGAGAACAGAUACUUCUGCAUUCCAAAUGCAAAUUUCGGAUUAUCCACCGUGAUAGAUUUCACACCACCCUCCAACGUCAGAGCAACUGAGAACCAAUUGCAUGAAUUACCACAGCCAAAGGGGUGAAGCUUUUUCUCUUCUACACAAUGCUUCUUUAUACUAAGACUUUAUAAGCAGUCAAAACCCAGAAAUAAAUAGAAGAAAAUGUA